GAUGAACGCUGGCGGCGUGCCUAAUACAUGCAAGUCGAGCGAACAGACGAGGAGCUUGCUCCUCUGACGUUAUCGGCGGACGGGUGAGUCACACGUGGAUAACCUACCUAUCAGACUGGGAUAACUUCGGGAAACCGGAGCUAAUACCGGAUAAUAUAUUGAACCGCAUGGUUCAAUAGUUAAAGACGGUUUUGCUGUCACUUAUAGAUUGAUCCGCGCCGCAUUAGCUAGUUGGUAAGGUAACGGCUUACCAAGGCAACGAUGCGUAGCCGACCUGAGAGGGUGAUCGGCCAGACUGGAACUGAGAAACGGUCCAGACACCUACGGGAGGCAGCAGUAGGGAAUCUUACGCAAGGGGGGAAAGCGCGACGGAGCAAAGCCGCGUGAGUGAUGAAGGUCUUCGGAUCGUAAAACUCUGUUAUUAGGGAAGAACAAAUGUGUAAGUAACUAGGAACGUCUUGACGGUACCGAAUCAGAAAGCCACGGCUAACUACGUG
Molecule: ribosomal RNA, 497 nt
Filed under: uncultured bacterium
Lineage: Bacteria
Description: partial 16S ribosomal RNA
Rfam family: Bacterial small subunit ribosomal RNA
Source: RNAcentral